UACGGGGGGAGCAAGCGUUGUUCGGAUUUACUGGGCGGAAAGGGCGCGUAGGCGGCGCGACAAGUCACUUGUGAAAUCUCCGGGCUUAACUCGGAACGGUCAAGUGAAACUGUCAUGCUAGAGUGCAGAAGGGGCAAUCGGAAUUCUUGGUGUAGCGGUGAAAUGCGUAGAUAUCAAGAGGAACACCUGAGGUGAAGACGGGUUGCUGGGCUGACACUGACGCUGAGGCGCGAAAGCCAGGGGAGCAAACGGG
Molecule: ribosomal RNA, 253 nt
Filed under: uncultured bacterium
Lineage: Bacteria
Description: partial 16S ribosomal RNA
Rfam family: Bacterial small subunit ribosomal RNA
Source: RNAcentral